This 2187-nucleotide long non-coding RNA is filed under the name Calidris pugnax (ruff). RNAcentral describes it as "lncRNA (ENSCPUG00000008496.1)". The record is from RNAcentral. Lineage: Eukaryota; Metazoa; Chordata; Aves; Charadriiformes; Scolopacidae.
UCCUUGUAUUUGUCCAUAUUGAAACAAACCGUUUUGAGUUUACCAGAACAUACAGUGACCUACCUUGGAGGGGAGGCCCGGUCUCCCCGGCCCCUCUCCCCGGCCUCCCCUGCCCGCGCCGUGCAGAGCCCCAGCCGCCGCCCCCAUUCCCAUGGAAACUCCGGCCGCCCGGGCGGAAAGGGCAGGCCGAGAGGGGACAAAGGAGCUGGGGAAGAGGGAAGUGUGCGGGAAUGGGGAAGCGCCGGAAAGGAGGAAGGAAGCCGAGAAGCCCAGGCCGGCCCGGCCGAGGAUCUGGGCCUCGGAGCAGGGGAAAGUUGGAGCGAGAGAGGGGAGAGGACGGGGCCCGCAGCGCCGGGAGCCUGGUGGGAGCUUUGUGCGUGGCCGGGAAAGCCCCGUAGGCCUGGCUGCGGGCAGCCUGGGUGGGCUGGAACCGGUGGGGCCUGCGCCGGGGUGUCGGGAGAAGCCGGUGGGGCUGCUUCGGGGGACCCCCGAGCGGGCCGAGCCAGGGUCCCGGGCGGGUGUGGAGAGGACACCGGCAGCGAGAAAACACCGAGUUGUGGAAGGAAAAGAGCUGAAAGCAAGACCCAGGAGCAGCAGAGGUGGCUGUGGUUCCGGCAGAGGUGGCUCACAGGUGAACGCGGCAGUAUGUCAGGCUGUGACGAGUGGUUGCCCUUUCUUCUGCCAUGCCAGCACAGGAUGGAUGGAGAGGAUCCAGAGUGCUCUAUGCCUCGUUAUAUGUGUCCUGUGGUGCUUGAUAGAUGCCCCAGCCCAGGUUUGCAGCCAGUGGUGGAGCCGCCUGAGGGGAAAGGGCCAGCCCUGGGUCUGGUCAUUUUGUUUGGGUUUUUUGAUCAAUAAAAAAAAGUGGUGAGUGUGAUGGUGUGUGUGUGUGUGAUGUCAUUUGGGGCACCCCAAUGUCACCAGGGGAGCAAUGGUGCGGUGGAGGAGCCAGGUGAGUGGGACAUGUGGGAAUUACAUGGGGUUCCCCCAAAAGAGGUGAGUCACAGCCCGAGUGGGGCUGGGCAGAGUGGGGACAGGGCAGAGAGAUGGAAGCCACAAGAUGGUGACAGUCCCUGUCGGAACUGAACAGCGCUGAGAGCAGCCGCUGCUCAUCACCCUAAUGAGGGCUCAGAGCAGAAUAACUAAGGGGGUGGUGCCGCCCGGCGGCCGACGGCCGGUACUGCACAAGAGGAACCGCGCAUGCGCACUGGGAGGAUGAUCAUUCCCCACCCCUCGGCUCCGCCCCCGGGCGGGGCUUUGCGUCGGUUCCGCCGAGGCCGGGCCAGCGCUGGCUCGAGGACGAAGCAGCCCAAAGGGCGUUCCGGCGGCUUCCCGCCAGCCAGAGCGGUUCCUGUGCCGCCCGCCCGCAGGCACGGCUGCCCUGCCCGGGCCCGAGAACGGACGUUAGCGCUCCGAUAGCGGAUAUUACCGCUAACAGGGCCCUCCGAAGUGCCGGACGGUCCCCGAGAAAUUCAUCUCUAUGAUAUUUCCGUCCCCCAGAAUACCGGAAGUGACUAUCAGUCCUCCGGAAGUCCACCUCUGUGGCCUUCCGGUCCUCCAGGACGCCGGAAGUGACUAUCAGUCCUCCGGAAGUCCACCUCUAUGGCCUUUCGGUCCUCCAGAAUGCCGGAAGUGACUAUCAGUCCUCCGGAAGUACAUCUCUAUGGCCUUUCGGUCCUCCAGGACGCCGGAAGUGACCAUCAGUCCUCCGGAAGUCCACCUCUAUGGCCUUUUGGUCCUCCAGGACGCCGGAAGUGACCAUCAGUCCUCCGGAAGUCCACCUCUAUGGCCUUUCGGUCCUCCAGGACGCCGGAAGUGACCAUCAGUCCUCCGGAAGUCCACCUCUAUGGCCUUUCGGUCCUCCAGGACGCCGGAAGUGACCAUCAGUCCUCCGGAAGUCCACCUCUAUGGCCUUUCGGUCCUCCAGGACGCCGGAAGUGACCAUCAGUCCUCCGGAAGUCCACCUCUAUGACCGUUUGGUCCUCCAGGACGCCAGAAAUGCCCAUCAGUCCCCCGAUGUCAAUCUCUAUGGCUCUAUGGUCCUCCAGGACACUAGAAGCGUUUCUGGUUCUUCUCAAGAAAACAUGCUUCCAACAUUCUAACACUAAAGAAAAUGGUCAACAAUUAAGGACAAAAAUGUCUUAAGUUUAGAAAAAUAAAACAGCAACUAUCCGAAGUGCCGGACGGUCC